CCUACGGGAGGCUGCAGUGAGGAAUAUUGGUCAAUGGACGAGAGUCUGAACCAGCCAAGUAGCGUGAAGGAUGACUGCCCUAUGGGUUGUAACCUUCUUUUAUAUGGGAAUAAAAUGUUCCACGUGUGGGAUUUUGUAUGUACCAUAUGAAUAAGGAUCGGCUAACUCCGUGCCAGCAGCCGCGGUAAUACGGAGGAUCCGAGCGUUAUCCGGAUUUGUUGGGUUUAAAGGGAGCGUAGGUGGAUUGUUAAGUCAGUUGUGAAAGUUUGCGGCUCAACCGUAAAAUUGCAGUUGAAACUGGCAGUCUUGAGUACAGUAGAGGUGGGCGGAAUUCGUGGUGUAGCGGUGAAAUGCUUAGAUAUCACGAAGAACUCCGAUUGCGAAGGCAGCUCACUGGACUGCAACUGACACUGAGGCUCGAAAGUGUGGGUAUCAAACAGGAUUAGAUACCCCUGUAGUC
Molecule: ribosomal RNA, 460 nt
Filed under: uncultured bacterium
Lineage: Bacteria
Description: partial 16S ribosomal RNA
Rfam family: Bacterial small subunit ribosomal RNA
Source: RNAcentral